RNAcentral lists this ribosomal RNA (254 nucleotides) under uncultured bacterium. RNAcentral's name for it is "partial 16S ribosomal RNA". It matches the Rfam family "Bacterial small subunit ribosomal RNA", at positions 524 to 776 of the family's 1533-position model. The record is from RNAcentral.
UACAGGGGGUGCAAACGUUGCUCGGAAUCAUUGGGCGUAAAGCGCACGUAGGCGGUUCGUUAUGUCGGAUGUGAAAGCCCUUGGCUUAACCGAGGAAGUGCAUCCGAAACUGGCGAGCUUGAGUACGAAAGAGGAUCGCGGAAUUCCCGGUGUAGAGGUGAAAUUCGUAGAUAUCGGGAGGAACACCGGUGGCGAAGGCGGCGAUCUGGGUCGAUACUGACGCGUGAGGUGCGAAAGCGUGGGGAGCAAACAGG